Molecule: non-coding RNA, 86 nt
Filed under: human gut metagenome
Also listed under: 1 other name
Description: Glycine riboswitch
Rfam family: Glycine riboswitch aptamer (bases 4-80)
About the family: This family represents the bacterial glycine riboswitch. Glycine riboswitches usually consist of two metabolite-binding aptamers domains with similar structures in tandem.
Source: RNAcentral
AAACUCUGGAGAACUCAUUGAAUUGAGUGCCGAAGGUGCAAGACCGUUCGCGGUCGAAUCUCUCAGGCAAAGGGACAGAGGAGCAA